AUGCUACCUCGUGAACAACAUCUUAUGAAAAGACGUGUUUAGCUUUGUGCUAAUAUGGUAGGCUACCUGAAAAUGAAGUGUGAGCAUGGUAUUAAUAACAUCACUGAUUUUGUUAACCGAAUUAGGAUGUUCUUUCAAUACUAUACAGGCGAUAGUUGAUGGCAGCAGUACUUGUAUUUGUUCAUUACAACAGUUUUUUCCUGUUGAACACAACAGGAGCGUUGGCGUCCCAUGAAUGAAGUUGUUCAAACAGUAUACUUGGAAAUUAAUUCUCUGUCUUCUUUCUUCUUAGAAGACUUGGAAUCUCAAGCAAAAGAACAUGCAGAUUCUACCGGCUGCGAAGGUGCGUGGUGUAGUGGGGAGGCUGCAGCUGGAAUACAAAAAAGCAUUAAUGCAGAAGCUGCUACCAAAAGUAAAGCAAAGGAUGAAGUUAAUGAAGACAAGUUGGAAGGUGGCUUACCUAAUCAUUCUGACUCUGUCCUCAGUAUUAGCACAAUUGCCUCUGCUAUUGCUAAUGCUUCUUGCAGUGCUGAUCCUUCCCAGUUGGCUGCUAUGAUGAUGACACUCUCCAAUAAAAGUAGAAAAAAGUGUUUUCUUCCUGGAAUUGUUAAAGAGGUGGAACUCACAGCUGAUCGGGCAUUAUCCAGCCAUGUGGAAAACAGUACCUUUGAUAUGGAAAAAUAUCUCAAAAAAACAGAUGAGUUUGGACAUGAAAGUGAGUGUGAGAGUAUUGUGAAACAUGAGACAUCUGUCCAGAACAGUAUGUCUGAAAGCACUUUACUGGGUAGAGGUAGAAACAAAGAAACUUUUGUAGAAGACUUUUUAAAUGAUCGUAAUGAACAGCAACUAACAGAGAAGCAAUUCCUGGGUUAUUUUAAUGCAGAGAAUGGUGCUCAGAAUAUCUCCAGCUCAUCUGAUGCUUCUAAGCACGAGGACAGAACCGCCAGUAGCGUUAAGUAUUCAGAGAAGUUAUCAGAUAUAUUAAGUAGUAAACAUUUGCAGUUGAUGAGUGCUACUCUUAAAUCUGAUGUGCUGGAUGCCCAAACUUCACCUAAUAGAAACAAAGCACAGACAUGUGAAACUCCUUUAGCAGCUAAAAGAGAAAUGGCACAGGGACUUCUGUUCGCUCAACAGGCUGACAAUAUUAGUAGCAGAUGUUGUAGCAGGGAAGAUGGAGGAACAGUAGGUCAAGUGAAAAAUGCUGUUCCUGAACCAUGUAAUGAUUUGGAGAGAAGUACAAGAAACAUCAUGUCACUCAGCAGUGUAAAAUCUACCAAACAACCUGGUAAAUAUGUAGUAAGUCCUACAAAAGCAGCACCUGUGCAGAAAUUGAACACCGAUGAAGAGACGCGAAGCGCAAAGGUGGAGGAGAGAACCAAAGAGAGCAGUGCUGCUGGUGGCGGGAAUGUGAAACAUGUAACUUUUGAGAAGCUCUCUCCAACUUCCCAGAAUAGUACUGAGCAUCAAUCCGUUCUCCCCGAAUGUGACUUGCAGCCUUUGGAGGAUGAGCAGUAUAGCUUCAGACCUUCAACUUCACCGCUGAUUCACUCUUCUCCUAGUGACACGUCCGGAACUGCAUUUUCAGGGUAAAUUUCUUAGUGCGGGAUAUAAGAAUUGCUCGAGCUUCAUGGGGAUCUUGGAGUCACCAGGUUUUAAAGUGAAUGUUGUUUUUGACCUCAGUUUAUAGAAGACUUUUUUAAGACUAUGACUUCAUUCUUUGUGUAAGCUUGCUGUUAGGUUUUAAUGAGUGCGUGGGGGAGCAGUGUUAAGCAAUUGUUGGUUUAUUUCCCUUGCUGGUAUGACGAUAGAUUUGCUGGACAGGAGUGUAUCUGUUUCUGCUCAGGAUUGUCCAGUAAAGCAAGAAUACAGAAUACUCAGCCUGUAGCUAGUCAGAUACCAUGGAUACUUAAACCUUCGUGACGAUGGAACUGUUAACUACCAUAUUUAGUUUUUAUUUUUUUUGUUAUGGCUCUACUUACGUAAUAACAAAGCUUGAUAUUGUAUAAAACCAAUGAUGGCCUGGGUUGUUUUUUUUUUUUUUUUAACUUG
RNAcentral lists this long non-coding RNA (2049 nucleotides) under Pavo cristatus (Indian peafowl). Its description in RNAcentral is "lncRNA (ENSPSTG00000004514.1)". Lineage: Eukaryota; Metazoa; Chordata; Aves; Galliformes; Phasianidae. The record is from RNAcentral.